AACGAACGCUGGCGGCAUGCCUAACACAUGCAAGUCGAACGAGACCUUCGGGUCUAGUGGCGCACGGGUGCGUAACGCGUGGGAACCUGCCCUUAGGUUCGGAAUAACUCCCCGAAAGGGGUGCUAAUACCGGAUAAUGUCUUCGGACCAAAGAUUUAUCGCCCUUGGAUGGGCCUGCGUGGGCUUAGCUAGUUGGUAGGGUAAAAGGCUACCACGGCGAGGAUCCGUAGCUGGUUAGUGAGGAUGCGCAGCGACACUGGGGGUGGGCCACGGCCCGGAAUCUUACGCGAGGGAGGAGUGGGGGAUAUAGCAAAGCGGGGGGAGGCAUGAUGCAGCAAGGCCUGGUGAGUGAUGAAGGCUGUAGGGUAGUAAAGCUAGUUUACCCGGGACGAUAUUGGCGUUACCGGGAGAAUAAGCACCGGCUAACUCCGUG
RNAcentral lists this ribosomal RNA (433 nucleotides) under uncultured bacterium. Its description in RNAcentral is "partial 16S ribosomal RNA". It matches the Rfam family "Bacterial small subunit ribosomal RNA", at positions 29 to 507 of the family's 1533-position model. The record is from RNAcentral.